Zingiber officinale is the source of this 191-nucleotide long non-coding RNA. RefSeq lists it as uncharacterized. The record is from RefSeq and is a predicted model, not a curated record. The transcript is spliced from 3 exons. NCBI's taxonomy places the organism in Eukaryota, Viridiplantae, Streptophyta, Magnoliopsida, Zingiberales, Zingiberaceae.
UUUCUUCUCUGUUUACCGAUCCUCAUCUUCUUGGCGGUGGAAUUAGGUCACGGAUUUGGAGAGGUUGGAACCAAGGAGGUGUUGUUGGAUUAGGGGAAGGAAUCGGAUCAGACUCGUGCUAGGUUUUCCCUUGAUCGGAUCAGUGGACCUCCACCUCCUUGCUGUUGACUGAGGUCUCAAAUUGAAGCUGG